RNAcentral lists this transfer RNA (63 nucleotides) under Fergusonina taylori (eucalypt gall-forming fly). RNAcentral's name for it is "tRNA-Leu". The record is from RNAcentral. Lineage: Eukaryota; Metazoa; Arthropoda; Insecta; Diptera; Fergusoninidae.
AUUAUUUUGGCAGAUUAGUGCAAUAAAUUUAGAAUUUAUUUAUGUGAUAGUUCACAAAUAAUA